GUCCACACCGUAAACGUUGGGCGCUAGGUGUGGGGCCUAUUCCAUGGGUUCCGUGCCGCAGCUAACGCAUUAAGCGCCCCGCCUGGGGAGUACGGCCGCAAGGCUAAAACUCAAAGGAAUUGACGGGGGCCCGCACAAGCGGCGGAGCAUGCGGAUUAAUUCGAUGCAACGCGAAGAACCUUACCUGGGUUUGACAUACACCCUGCCGCCUCAGAGAUGGGGCUUCUUUUGGGGGUGUACAGGUGGUGCAUGGCUGUCGU
RNAcentral lists this ribosomal RNA (260 nucleotides) under uncultured bacterium. RNAcentral's name for it is "partial 16S ribosomal RNA". It matches the Rfam family "Bacterial small subunit ribosomal RNA", at positions 793 to 1055 of the family's 1533-position model. The record is from RNAcentral.